CGGUUAGGAGUCGGAGCAACGCUUGAAAGACGCGCAGAUAGAUGUCAGAUUCUCCCGUAGGGAGGUCUGGCAAGGUGAUAGUUUAGGCGGCAGAGUUUUACGCGGGCCAGUCUGUGUUAGAGCUUUGUCGCCAGGGUAGCUCCUUCCGAGCUGCCCAAACUGAGGACCAGUUUUCCUCACAUGAGGAGGCUGGUGGGGCCUAGGGUGUUAGGUGUUAGGGGUACGACGGUUGGCUCUUUCACAGAACGGGCGUUUUCCGUUCUGCGUUUGGGUCUGCCGCCUUUGGGCGUCUCCCUCUGAGAUGUCGGUUAGGAUUUCUUUUUUUUAUAUGUCCGUGUGUGUAACUGUUGCCUUUUAGCCUGUUGUGUUCCUGAGCAGCAGAAGAGGAGGCUGUGGUGAUCCGCCCGAUGCGGAAGGCUUCUGGGCCCUGUCGGCGGGGGCGCACCUCUCUGGCUGACUGGUUGAGGGAGGGCUGCUCGUCUGGCCGGCUGCAAGUUCAGUCCCAGGAUUGAACCCAUGGCUUGCCAGAUGGAGGGCUGCUCCUUUGACCAGGUGGCCGGGGAGGCGCCCCCUCGCUGGGCGGGGUCUGGGGGCCCUCCGUCUUGGGGAGGUCGCUGCAGCAGGAGGAGGUAACUACCGCUGGUUUUGUAAGGCAUUGUGGUUGAGAGCACCUUGCAGCUGUAACGCGAAUUUCGUUCCGUAAUAAACAAUGUACCGCCAUGCUGCCUGUCCUUCCUCCCUCCCAGCACUGUGUACGUCUGUGUGUGUGUGGCUUAAUUCUCCCUCACUGCACUGUGCGUAUGUCUGUGUGUGUGUGUUGCUCUGUCUCUGUCUCUCUCUCUCUCUCUCUCUGUCUCGGUCUCUCUCUGUCUGUCUCUCUAUCUCUCAAUCUCUCUGUGUCUUUCUCUCUCUCUCUAGUUAGUAAAGAACAGGCAACAAGAAACCUCCACGGCCGAGCUUCAACAACAGAACACCUCGUCACCGUUGAUGAGGCUCCACGCCCCGGACCACAGCCAUGUUAGCCUCGAUAAUAGUCCUCGGCGCACUUAUUCUGAGACGUCCUGACUGGAGAGCUACACAACACCGGUCAUCCGCUGAGUGGUUGAAUUCCUGGUCUACUGGCCCCUGGAGGAGUGGUCGAUUGCCUGGUCUACCGUGGAUAUGAGUGGUUGAUUCCCUGGUCUACCCCUGGAUGACGCAGCUGUUCCUAUGCAGGGGAAGACUCACACAAGUGAUAAGGUAAGGUUUUAAUGGCUGGGUUUACAAGAGGUUUUAAUUGCUGGGUUUACAAGAGGUUUUAAUAGCUGGGUUUACAAGAGGUUUUAAUGGCUGGGUUUACAAGAGGUUUUAAUGGCUGGGUUUACAAGAGGUUUUAAUGGCUGGGUUUACAAGAGGUUUUAAUGGCUGGGUUUACAAGAGGUUUUAAUGGCUGGGUUUACAAGAGGUUUUAAUAGCUGGGUUUACAAGAGGUUUUAAUAGCUGGGUUUACAAGAGGUUUUAAUGGCUGGGUUUACAAGAGGUUUUAAUGGCUGGGUUUACAAGAGGUUUUAAUGGCUGGGUUUACAAGAGGUUUUAAUGGCUGGGUUUACAAGAGGUUUUAAUGGCUGGGUUUACAAGAGGUUUUAAUAGCUGCAUGGGUUUACAUGAUGUUUUAAUAGCUGCAUGGGUUUACAUGAUGUUUUAAUAGCUGGGUUUACAAGAGGUUUUAAUAGCUGCAUGGGUUUACAAGAG
Long non-coding RNA from Eriocheir sinensis (Chinese mitten crab), 1731 nucleotides. RefSeq lists it as uncharacterized. Lineage: Eukaryota; Metazoa; Arthropoda; Malacostraca; Decapoda; Varunidae. The transcript has 4 exons. The record is from RefSeq and is a predicted model, not a curated record.